UACGUAGGGGGCGAGCGUUGUCCGGAAUUAUUGGGCGUAAAGAGCGUGUAGGCGGCUCGGUAAGUCUGCCGUGAAAACCUGGGGCUCAACCCCGGGCGUGCGGUGGAUACUGCUGGCUAGAGGGUGGUAGAGGCGAGUGGAAUUCCCGGUGUAGCGGUGAAAUGCGCAGAUAUCAGGAGGAACACCGGUGGCGAAGGCGGAUCUCUGGGCCAUUACUGACGCUGAGGAGCGAAAGCGUGGGGAGCGAACAGG
This 252-nucleotide ribosomal RNA is filed under the name uncultured bacterium. Its description in RNAcentral is "partial 16S ribosomal RNA". It matches the Rfam family "Bacterial small subunit ribosomal RNA", at positions 524 to 776 of the family's 1533-position model. The record is from RNAcentral.